RNAcentral lists this non-coding RNA (24 nucleotides) under Arabidopsis thaliana (thale cress). Lineage: Eukaryota; Viridiplantae; Streptophyta; Magnoliopsida; Brassicales; Brassicaceae. The record is from RNAcentral.
GGUACCCGCCUUCCUCUCCAUGUU